Molecule: ribosomal RNA, 226 nt
Filed under: Exiguobacterium sp.
Lineage: Bacteria; Bacillati; Bacillota; Bacilli; Caryophanales
Description: partial 16S ribosomal RNA
Rfam family: Bacterial small subunit ribosomal RNA
Source: RNAcentral
GGAAUGAGCGGCGGACGGGUGAGUAACACGUAAGGAACCUGCCUCAAGGAUUGGGAUAACUCCGAGAAAUCGGAGCUAAUACCGGAUAGUUCAUCGGACCGCAUGGUCCGUUGAUGAAAGGCGCUUCGGCGUCACCUUGAGAUGGCCUUGCGGUGCAUUAGCUAGUUGGUGGGGUAACGGCCCACCAAGGCGACGAUGCAUAGCCGACCUGAGAGGGUGAUCGGCC